AUAAGAAUUUCUAAACUUGAAAAAAGGAGAAAUAAAUUACUUGUUGAAAAAUUCGUGUGUGUUUUUUUUUCCCCAGUUCUGAAGAAAGAACAUAUACUUAACAUAAUAGUAGGCAUCCAACUCUUGGAGGACAUCAAAAAUGGAAUUUUCUUAUACAACCUAACUAUUCAAAUUAGCAUAUAAUCUUUUUAGCCUUUCUAAAUAAAUGCUUUUGUGUUUGCAGGUCUUAUCAUUUCUCUGCAGCUUCUUCGUGGAGACAUGGAACAUAUUAGGAGAGAAAAUCCCAUGAUAUUUAGUAGGGGAUUGGCAAUUACAAGAAAAUUGGGAUUUCCUGAUGUCAUCAUGCCAGCACAUACCCAGUGGAGAGUGUGGCCUGAUCAUAGAGAAGGACCGUGUGAUGGAUUCCAGCUGGCUUCCAGCUUUUCCCACAUUAUGGCCAGACUUGUUUUCUGUCACCUUUAUUCUCUCCCCAUAGACUUUGUGAAUGCAGAGUAAGCCAUUAUGAACAGCCUUUGUCUCUUGCUCAUGUGCACAGAAGGGUCUUUUGGAUGGGAAUCACAGGCAAUUCAGUCGAUUCCAUAUUUAUCUGUAAAUGCAGAGACUUCAUGCUUAUGAAGGGUCCCCACCUGGCUGUUGUGAAGGUGAUGUCCUCCACGGGACAUUUCUCCCAUCCCAUCCCGACAAUGUUCCUCAGCCCUCUGUGACCCUGGAAAUCAUGAAAAGAAGAGCCCAGGCGUAGUCCCUGACCUCUUGGCAGUAUAUCUUUGAAGAAAGAAUUGGUGUUUACUAAAAUGGAUAUGUUGAUCUUUUAAAAUUUAGAUAUCCAGGCUCAUGUGGAGUUAUGUAUUCUAAAAGAUGGACUUAAAAUCCUUCCUUUUAAGAACUUGUUUUGUCUAAGAUUUGGACACUUCCUUCCUAUUAGUCUUCACACAGAGAAUCAAAAAAAAAAAAAAAGUGAGCAGAGACUAGAAAUGAGCAAGCUUAAGUCAAAAAGGAUUGUUGGGGGGUUUUUGGUUUUUUAUUUGUUUGUUUGUUUG
This 1037-nucleotide long non-coding RNA is filed under the name Sus scrofa (pig). RNAcentral's name for it is "lncRNA (ENSSSCG00055024398.1)". Lineage: Eukaryota; Metazoa; Chordata; Mammalia; Artiodactyla; Suidae. The record is from RNAcentral.